GGGGGUGUGCCCGAGUGGUUAAAGGGGACGGGCUGUAAACCCGUUAGCUAUGCUUACCGCGGUUCGAAUCCGUGCGCCCCCACCA
Molecule: transfer RNA, 85 nt
Filed under: Raoultibacter sp.
Lineage: Bacteria; Bacillati; Actinomycetota; Coriobacteriia; Eggerthellales; Eggerthellaceae
Also listed under: 1 other name
Description: tRNA-Tyr
Rfam family: tRNA
About the family: Transfer RNA (tRNA) molecules are approximately 80 nucleotides in length. Their secondary structure includes four short double-helical elements and three loops (D, anti-codon, and T loops).
Source: RNAcentral